GAGUCUAUGGUGUGGAGACAUCGAAGUGAAAGUACAGGUAUUCGUUGAGAAUGAAAGUACUGAGCGUGACCAUAUCGAGUAGUCAUAAGAAAAUCUACCUUCUCGUCGAUGACAAAGCUCGAUGCUGCAGUUGUGUGUCUAGUUCUUUGACCUGAGGUGCAUCGACAGUUCACCUUGAGUGUGUUAUAGUUUAACUAUACCAUAACUCGGUCUCCUAGCCAUUCGGAAUCC
Molecule: long non-coding RNA, 231 nt
Filed under: Elaeis guineensis (African oil palm)
Lineage: Eukaryota; Viridiplantae; Streptophyta; Magnoliopsida; Arecales; Arecaceae
Description: long non-coding RNA (EGUI_LNC035514)
Source: RNAcentral